CAGCACUGAUGAAUGGAAGUAUAGUCUGACCUGGUAUUGUUCUCCCCCUGGGACGACUCUGACCAGGGCAUGAUCACUGUAAUCUUCUCUCUGAGCGG
Megalops cyprinoides (Indo-Pacific tarpon) is the source of this 98-nucleotide small nucleolar RNA. RefSeq annotates it as Z30 small nucleolar RNA. The transcript has a single exon. Lineage: Eukaryota; Metazoa; Chordata; Actinopteri; Elopiformes; Megalopidae. The record is from RefSeq and is a predicted model, not a curated record.